CAUGUGUAAUAUUUCUAUUAUAAGGACAAAUAUUGACCCUUGCAUUUGAUAAUUUUUAAAGAUAUUUAAGCUAACAUUUUCUCAGCCACAUUUUUAUAUAAAACCAAAUUUUAUGUAAAAACUAGGCUUCAAUAAGUUAAACUUUUUAAAUUGUAAGACAAAAUUUUUAUGUAAAAGAAUUCUUAUAUCCCAUCAAACCUAAUAAUUUUCCACAACUAAAAAUGAGUAUAAAUACAUAAUUUUAAGUGUAUCCUGUCAGGUCUGAUAUUUGGUUUUACUUUACUUAGAAGCUAAGUAGUUACUCUGUUACUUUUUCAUGGAUGCUAACAGAAGACAUGAGAUUCCUGGACAGAAACAAAGGACUGUUACUCAUGGCACAACAAGGAGUAUAAGCAUCAGCACAUUCUCAUUGCUUCCCUUGUCCCAGGUCCCGUGGGGACAAAAUGAUAUGGCCAUACACAAUAUGGCUACAUAUACAGCGGGCUUUAGUUGUAGGUAAAGGAUACUGAGCUUGGAGGGUUCACUGCUUUUUAUCCAUGAACAGAUGCAAACCUGCUCUUUGCCUUAUCCCUUACAGAUGCUCACUCAAAACUCAAUACUGAGAAAUGGCCCAGGUAUAGUACAGUCAAGGUCUUGCAUGGUAGCCACACCUAGCAAUAUGUGUAGGAAGGUGAAGUCUAUUGAGGGCUAUCUCACAUCUAACAGUUUCUUUACUAGGACCAGAAACCAUUUGAUGCAGACAAUAACCCCAACCUUAACAACUUCACAACAUGAAUAGAAAUAGUGAUAGAUAAUUCAUAGCUUUUUACAAAAGAAUAAUGAGGUAUAAUGGGGAAAUGUUUUGAUGCCAAAAAUAAAAGAGUUAAUAUUUGAAUCAGACUCCAACAGGACUCCUUAAAAUGAUACAAAUACAAAGCAAAUGAUACGUGUAAUUUAAAAUUUCCUAAUACACACGUUUUUUAUUUUUCUUUUUUGGGAUGGAGUCUUGCUCUGUCACCCAAGCUGGAGUGCAGUGGUACGAUCUCGGCUCACUGCAACCGCCGCCAUCUUAGUUCAAGGGAUUCUCCUGCCUCAGCCUCCUGAGUAGCUGGGAUUACAGGCAUGAGCCACUGCACCUGGCCCUGUAUACACAUUUUUAAAAAUAAAACUUUUUUAAAAAAGAAAGGGUUGAAACUAAUUUUAAUAAGAUUUUAUUUAACCAAAUAUAGCAAAAAUAUUACUUCAGCAUGUAAUCAGUAUUUUUUUAAUUAGUGAGAUAUUUAUGUUUUAUCUUGCCUUCAAAAUGCAGUGUAUUUUUUUACAUUAUAGCACAUCUCAAUUCAGAUGCUAAAUUUUCAUCAGAAAUAUUUGAUCCAUAUUUAAAUUUCCUAAAAUAUACAAUUGAGAAAAAGAGAUUCACAUACCCAGGUUGUUCUAGCAUGCCUAAAAAAUCUUGUAACUGGAUCAAGUAUCAGUUUUUAAAUUAGUUAAAAUUAAAUAAAAUUUAAAAUUUAGUUCCUCAGUCACACUAGCCAUAUUUCAAGUACUUGAAAGCUGCAAAUGGCUUGUGACUACCUUGCUGGACAGAGCAAGGUCCAACACUGAGAUAAUAAUGAUUCUUAAGGCCAUUUGAAAGUUGACAGCAAGUAUGUGUUACUGCUGUUGAAUUACAUGUUAUCUACAGGCAAUCGUAAGCCAUAUCUGUUGUGCAGCAUAGGCUUUCCAUUCUUUAUACAUCUAGGUCGUAGCGUUUUUCUAUUGAUAAAUCUGGAUGUUUAUAUACCAACAUUACUUUCUUACAACAUAUUCCAGUAUACAGUGUCCAUCUUCACCUACUUUUUAAAGUGGUCCUGAAACAAUUUUAUUCAUCUUAUUGGAGUGUUGCUGUAGGGGAAGAGUAGAAGCUAAGAAGAGUUUGAGUCCAACACCAUUAUAUUCAAACUGGAGUUGUAAGCUCCUUAAAAAUGGGGAUCUUGUCUGUCUUGUUCACAGUUGUGUUCCCAGCCCCAGAGGUAGUCUCAAGGCCAAUACCAAGUAUGCUCUCAAAUAUUUGCUGGGAAAAUUUACUAGCUGGAUAAAAGACAAGUUACUUUAAUCUCUUUAAUCUUCCUUUUUCCUUACAAAUGAAAGAGACUAAUAGUACUUACCUUGCAGCAUCAUUAUAAGAAUUAAAGUUGAUAAAUACAUGAUCAUGAGAACAAUGGCUAGCACAUAGCAGUCACUCUGAAAGUAGUAGCCAAAAUAUAUCAACCGCAUUGUUUGAUUAUUGUCGGCUCAAUUAAAAGUUGGCUUUUCCAAAUCCUCCAUUUGGAAUAAUUUUUAAAUAGCCAUAUUAAAAAUAAAGUUAUCAGAAAACCAA
Mandrillus leucophaeus (drill) is the source of this 2338-nucleotide long non-coding RNA. RefSeq lists it as uncharacterized. NCBI's taxonomy places the organism in Eukaryota, Metazoa, Chordata, Mammalia, Primates, Cercopithecidae. The transcript is spliced from 2 exons. The record is from RefSeq and is a predicted model, not a curated record.